RNAcentral lists this long non-coding RNA (2581 nucleotides) under Homo sapiens (human). RNAcentral describes it as "HSALNT0347750". Lineage: Eukaryota; Metazoa; Chordata; Mammalia; Primates; Hominidae. The record is from RNAcentral.
AUGUCCUGCUGAUUGUACCUCACUAUUUCCUUCCCACAGUAAAUUGCUGUCUUGGAUUUUAUGUUUGUAAUCCUUUAUUUUUCCUUAUAUUUACUUUAAACAAUAUAUUUUGUUUGUUUUUAAACUUUAGGUAAAUGGACUCAUACUGUUAGUAAUUCUUUCUGACUUUUAUCAUUUCAAGAUUAAUCCAUCUUUGUAGCAGUAUAUUUUUAAAGCUAACUUUAUUGUGAACCAACUCACAUAAUAUACUCAUCCAUUUAAAAUGACUUUUAAUAUAUUCGUGGAGUUAUGCAACUAUCACCAGUCAAUUUUAGAUCAGUUUGAUACAUGUUUUUACUGAAAUACAACAAACAGGAAAAUGCACAAAUCUACAUGUAAAGUUCAUAUAUUCACAAAGUGAAUACACCUUUGUAAUCACCAUACAUGAAAAAAUAAAAUGGUAGCUCCACCUUGGAAGCCUCCCUUAUGUCCGUUCCUAAGCACUACUUCCUCCCUCUCCUAAAGGUAAUCACAUCCUGAUUUCUUUUUUGUUUUUCUUUUGAGAUAGGAUCUCACUCUGUCACCCCUGUUGGUGUGCAGUGGUGAGAUCACGGCUCACGGCAGCCUCCAAUUCCUAGGCUCAGGUGUUCCUCCCACCUUAGUCUCCUGUCUGCUGAGUAAUUGAGACCACAGGCACACACCAGCAUACCUGGCUAAUUUUUUUUAUUAUUUGUAGAAACAUGGUCUCCCUGUGUUGCCCAGGCUAGUUUCAAACUCCUGGAAAGCGAUCCUCCCACCUCAGCCACCCAGAGUUCUGGGAUUACAGGCAUGAGCCACCAUGCCCAGCUUACAUUCUGAUUCUAAUACUAUAGAUUGCUUUUGCCUGUUUGUGAGCUUUACAUAAAUGAAAUUAUACUGUAUAUUUAUUUUUCUGUCUGACUUCAUUUGCUCACAUUAAUUUGUGAGAUCUAUGAUCUGUGUUGUAAUUCACUUUUAUUGCCAUGUAUGAAUAUACAAUUUACCAAUUAUUUAUUUAUUUAUUUAUUUACUUAUUUAUUUUGAGACACAGUUUUUCCCAGGCUGGAGCGCAAUGGCACGAUCUUGGCUCACUGCAACCUUGGCCUCCCGGGUUCAAGCGAUUCUCUUGCCUCAGCCUCCCGAGUAUCUGGGAUUACAGGCAUGCGCCACGACACCCAGCUAAUUGUGUAUUUUUAGUAGAGAUGGGGUUUCUCUGUAUUGGUCAGGCUGGUCUCAAACUCCCGACCUCAGGUGAUCCACCCGCCUCAGCCUCCCAAAGUGCUGGGAUUACAGGCAUGAGCCAUGGUGCCCGGCUGUUUUUAUUUUUUUUUUGAGACAGAGUUUCACUCUUGUUGCCUAGGCUGGAGUUCAAUGGCACAAUCUUGGCUCAUGGCAACCUCUACCUCCUGGGUUCAAGCAAUUCUCCUGCCUCAGCCUCCCGAGUAGCUGGGAUUACAGGUGCCUGCCACCAUGCCCGGCUAAUUUUUGUAUUUUUAGUAGAGAUGGGAUUUCACCACGUUGGCCAGGCUGGUCUUGAACUCCUGACCUCGGGUGAUCCACCUGCCUUGGCCUCCCAAAGUGCUGGGAUUACAGGUGUGAGCCACAGCACCCGGCCGCAAUAUACCCGUUUUACCGUUGAUGAUGGACAUUUGAGUUUUUUCUUGUUUGGGCCUGGUCACAUAUAAUGCUGCUACAAACAUCCUCCUUGUACCUGUGUUUUGUUGAACGUAUAUGCUGGGUAUACCUUGGAAUGGAAUUGGUGGGUGAGAGCAUAUUUCUAUAUCCAAGUUUACAAAAAAAAGCAAGUAGUUUUAUAAAAUUGUUUACCAGUUUAUACUUCUACCAGCCAUGUAUGAGAACUUCAGUUCCCGUACAUACCUACCAAGCUGGUCUUACCAGUUUGUUGAGUGUUAACCAUUACUUAUUGUAGUGUGGCUUUAAUUUGCAUUUAUCUGAUAACCAGUGAGGUUGCGUUUCUUUUCCUGUUUUUAUUAGCCAUUAUGGUGUUUUUGUGAAUUACGAAUUCUAGACUUUUGCUUAUUUUUCUGUUUGGUUAGUUGUUUUUUGAGACAGAGUCUCACUCUGUCGCCCAGGCUGGAAUGCGGUGGCGCAAUCUUGGCUCACUGCAACCUCUGCUUCCCUGGUUCGAGCAAUUCUCCUGCCUCAGCCUCCCAAGUAGCUGGGAUUACAGGUGCGUGCCACCACGCCCAGCUAAUUUUUUGUAUUUUUAGUAGAAAUGGGGUUUUGUUAGCCGGUAUGGUCUCAAUCUCCUGAGACUUCGUGAUCCACCCGCCUCGGCCUCCCAAAGUUCUGGGAUUACAGGCUUGAGCCACUGCACCUGGCCCAGUUAGUUUUUUAUGUUAAUGAUUUGUAGCCAUUAUGGUAGCUAAUUUAACAUACUUAUUAUAAUCUAAAGUUUAUCUGCAUGUUUGCACUCUUCUUAAACACUACGACCUUAAAAUGCUUUAACUCCCCAUCACCUGCUUCCAAAUUUAUGUGUUGAAUGCCUUGUAAUUUCGUUCUGUCUUGUUUUAUUUUACAAAUUAGACAUUUUGUGCUCAUAUUCUUAUCCCAUCCAAAAUUU